UUCAACUCUUUAUUUUAAAAUAAUUUUGACUUACAGAAAUGUCACAACAAUUAUACAAAAAUAUUUUAAUGUACCCUUCACCCAGAUUCCCCAAAUGUUAACAUUUUACUGGGUUUGAUUUAUCUCUCUCUCUCUCUCAGAUUAGAUAGGUGAUGGACAGAUAGAUGAUAGAUAGGUAGGUAGGUAGAUAGGUAGAUAGAGAUAGACAUAGAUACAUUACGGAUAUAGACAAAUAUCUUGUUUCUUCUGGUCAUUCAAGUCUCAGCUGAGAUGCCACCUCUAAAAAGUCCCCUUUCCUGGCCAUUUAACCCCUGUAGCUGUGGUCCCACUCUCUCAUACUCUUCUAAUUGCAGAUCCCAACAACACUGAUCUCCAGCUGGUGUUUUUCUUGGCUGUUUACUUACUGGUCACCUCUCUGCCUCCCCACUGGGAUGUCAGUUUUAUGGGAGAAUUGUCCCGUGUGCCUUCCCUGUUCACUGUUGAAUCCUCAAAACAUAGAACAAGGCCUGCACAGAAUGGGUGCCUAGUCACUGUUUGCUGAAUCGGUGAAUUGGGGACGUGCCCAUGUGGAGUCCACACAGGCACGUGGCGUAGUCUCUGUGCUCGAGGCGCAGAUGUUCCCCAGUGCCGCAGUAGCUGCAGCAUCCCCUCUCAUCAUGGAAACAUCUGCUGUAUCUUGUUUGAGGAGGGGAUGACUGAAGACACAGCUAGCAUUUUGGUGUAAAGCCUCUGAGAAAGAGAGAGAAAACUAUACAAACAUGCACACACACAGGAAGAGAGAGCAGGGCCAGCUUAGUGGUUUAGGCAUGGCUCCGGACCCCAGCUGCCUUAGUCACAUUCAGGUUCUGCCACUUAGUACUGUGUGACCUUGGGCGAAUUACUUAAACGCUCUGUGUCUCAGGUGCCUUAUGUGUAAUAUAUAGAUAAUAAAAAUAUCUUCUUCAUAGACGUUGCACGAUGAAAUGUAUGACUGUAUUUUAAAUGCUUAGAGCCAUGCCUGGCAUCCAGUAAGUGUUCAGUUAACCUCAGCGGAGUAUGUAAUUAUAUAAUUAAGUAAGAACAGGCAGUACAUGCUGUUUGAUAGCCUUUUUUCAUUUGGCAAAAUAUUCUGAAAAUUCCAUAUCAAUACACAUUCCUUUACCACAUGAUUAUUAAUGGCUAAUAUUUUUCCAUCAUAUAGAUGUACUGUAGCAACACAAGUUUCCUGGCAUACCACCAUUGCUGGAUAUUUGAGUUGCUUCCACUUUUUCUCUAUUACAAACAACAUUACGUUGAACACCCUUGGACAUAUAUCUUUGCACACAUCAGCAACUAUUCCUUCUUAUUGCGUUCCUAGAAGUGGAAUCGUUGGGUCAAAGGCUGUGCAUAUUUUCUGACCCAAGAUACAGAUUCCAAGUCCCUGAGACAGGUUGUCCCAGAAGAGGCGUUUCCUUGGGGAUCAAGUGCAGAGGCCAGGGUGGGUCCUAAUGUCAGCCAUUUCCACACUGCCUUCUCUCCCACGGCCAGCCAGGCUGCAGUCCAUGUGUCCUGAGGCCACCACAGAUUCCAGUUGUCCUGUUUACUAGGCUCUGGGCGGGAAAACAAGCUGGACAUUCUCUUCCAAGGACUGUCAGAGACCUUUGCCUUGAACUUCAUCUAAGAGAAUGAAGACAGCCACAUCCAACCUGCUGCUGUCUCACUGCUGGCCUUCCCUCUGACCUUGACUGUGACCCUGUGACCUUGACGGUGGCACUGUGACCUUAACUGUGACCCUGUGACCUUGACUGUGACACUCAGACCUUGACAGUGACCCUGUGUGGGCAAAGACCUCUGUACCCUUUCCUCUGACCUUGACAGUGAUACUCUGACUUUGACUGUGACCCUGUGACCUUGACUGUGAUGCUCUGACCUUGACUGUGACAUUGUGUGUGCAAAGGCCUCUGUACCCUUUCCUCUGUGCUUGAAAAUGGGGAAUGGCCUAACCUUGGCAAGGCUUCUCCAAGAUGGCAAAAUAAACUAUGGAAGCUGCUGUUUCCAAAAUGGGGGACCAGUAUCCCAUUCCCACAUAGCACCCCCAUCCAGGAGGGUGGAACCUCUGAAAGGGUAAGAGGAAAAGCCGAAAAUUUCACAGAAAGAGCCACGGCUCCAGGGCCACCAGGAAGGCAGCCCAGGGCACGUGUGGAGGGACUGCCACCAUGAACGAAGCAGGCAGGAGCACAUCUAGGUUUUGUCAGACGUGAAUAUAUGCAUUUUGAGGAGCUUUCUUUAAGAAAAGAACAUUACAAAUAUAAAACGCCCACGGCCAAUACAACUUACCCAACAGGGGAUGUGUGAUGGGGGGAGGGGGGAAGAAGGUGGCCAUCGUCACCCACUGAGGUUAAAAAUCUCACACCGUGCCAACUCUUCGAACAGCACCUGACCUGCGGGGGCGUUCCCAGGCCACUCUGGGAAGUGGCUCCAAAGCGUCGCUUGAUUAGCAUCGCCCUGUGAUUGGAACGUCUUGGAGCUGAAGGCCAGAGGCAGACUCUUGUCUAAACACCAUUCCGUAUAAACUCCCGCAUUCGGGGCGACCUCCACCCCACACGCUGAGACGGAAUUUCCUGCCAAAUGCAGGCGGGUGUGGCAAGCCAAAUUUAUUUGAUUUAGAAAUACAAGUAAAUAUGAUACUUCUUGCAGAGAAGUGUCCUAAAACAUCUUACUUAUACCAUACUCAGGGAAUACCUUUAUUUUUAAAAGACAAUCCAGCAACAUAUCCUGAGAAAAUUACUUCUCUUCCUGAGUCUGUUUUCCCAUCUCAGACAUGGGCAUGACAAACCCAGGCCCCGGCUCAGUGUGGGAAUGAAGUGAGCUACCACACAGAAGAUCCUGGCACGGGGACCAUUGUUUCUGUGCGUCUACUGGGUCCAGACCCUUGGGCCAGUGCAGGGAAGACAGAGGUGAUGCACCCCAGACCCUGUCCUCAGGCCUUCACAGUCGAACCUCCCUGAGGUCUACUGAAGAGGUUAGCUGUGCAAAACUGAGCUUUGCAAAGCAGGGAGGGGCCUGGCCUGGUGACUGUCAGCUCACAGACGAGAGAAGCUCACUCAGACUGAGGCCCGCAGGCCCAGGGAGGCCAGCCAGCUUUGGGAGCCGACGUGGCGAGGUGGUCAGCCAGGGGUGGGUCCGAGUGCCAGCCUGCCUUGCUGUGUCUUCUGCGGCAAAUCACUUCCCCUCUGGGAAUCUGAGUUUCCACGAGGAUUUGGGGAGAAGCACUAACUGAGAGAAGUACCCAACACAGAACAGGGGCUCAGUAGAUGGAAACGUUUUCUGUUAUAUCCAUCCCCACCCCGAUUGAGAAUUUGGGGUAAAAUCUGGUUCCCUGGGAAGCCAUUUCUCAAUCCUCUUUCUCUGCAAGAAGCAGACUUCCAAGUCCAAGCAGAGGGCUUGAGAGACUUCCCCCUUCUACUUAAUUCUACCGAAUUCUAUUUAAAUGAAGCAUCCUCCUUCAAGCAGGAAACUCAAACCACUUCCUCCUGCUAGAGUUCUUUGCAAUGUCCCCUUUUCUUAACAUCUGGCCAGAUGCCCAACUGCAAGGAGCCUGAAGCCUUUGGUUUGGGGACGGCUCUGUGGCACUUUUCCCUGGUUCCUGAGCUGACUCGGGCCAGCGGGUCUGGCCUGAGAAGCCCAAGUCUGCAACCCAGAGCUCCUGCCAUGGCACUCCCGAGGCUUUCUUCUCAUUGGCAUCCUCCAGUCUGCCAGGCAGCCUGCUGCCAAGAUGGCAAGCCACACUCCAGGGACUUUUGUCACUCCCAGUAUCUUGUCCCUGGAUGCCUUUCUCCACUCCACCAGCCAUGUCUUUGCUGCAGCUCAUUCUCAUGAGGACGAGGGACAUCCUGAGAUCACAGAUUGGGCACUGGACCGAGAGUGGGGAGACCUCGGCUCUGCCAGCAACACAUGCAGCUGGGAUGUCACUAAGCUCCCACUUUCUCAGAUGCAGAAUAAUGGGGGCUGACCCAGAUCAGCCCGAGGGGUCUCCUAAACAGCAGUCCAUGCACCCCCUCAUCCUACACUCUUUCUGUGAAGGUCCCAGCGCCCUGUUCAUUUGAGCAAAAAGUUUAAAAUUCAGGACUCCUCUUGAGUACCAGCUGCAGACUGGGCCCUAUGUCAGGGCCUAAAGAUCUUUAAAUGAACAACAACGCCCUGCUCUGAAGGAGUUCCCAGAUGAGAAACAGGGACAUGUAAAGAUGACAAGAAAGGGGCUGAUGCUAGAAACGAGCACAGAGCCGACAGCCACUGCCCCCUUAGAGCCUCGUCCCAGAGGAGCAACCACACUGAGUCCUGAGGAUGAAGUUGGAGAGCCCUGAGUUCAGAGGAGGUGAGGGAAGGAGAGUCUAAGAAGAAGGAACGGCAUGCGCAAAGCCAGGUCAGAGGUUUGGAAUUAAUCCCACGUGGCCACUGUGCCAUGGUCAUACCACAAGCAGCAGAAGGGUCCAGCAAAGAGGAUGGGACAUGUGCUGGAGGUCCUGGGCCUCAGCCCUCCCCAUGCAGAAGGAGACCCAUCUGUCUGAUGGCGGCUCGUGGAGGUUUCCAGGGCAAUCUGAUGUGGAGGCACUCACCAAACCCAGGAAGCAGGAGCGACUUCCGGGCACCAGCUCCCAGCCCAGCGCCAGCCCGGGGCUCUAGGCGUUUCCCUGCAGAGUCUCCGACUGAGACUUGAAGAAAACAGUCUUAAAAGUCAGACAAAUAUUUAGAGUUUUACAAACUCAGUCUACAAAUCGGGAGGAAUUGGGAAACUCGCUUGUCAGAUGUGCGGUCUGUUCUCUACAAUCCAAAGCGGGCUUGGUUUCCGGGAGGGCGAUGACACUCCUGCCUGCUCACUGCUACGGUGGGACCACGUCUGAAGAGGCGGUGUUUCACGUUAAGGCGACGGAAUUUAAUGAAACAAAGGAGAAAAAGUGGCAUCAAUUUGGUGUUAGGUAUAACGUCACGUAGGGGGAAGAGGCUGAGCGAGAUUGGAGCCCUGACCUGACUCCAGCUAUGAAGCUGGAAUCACUGAGGCCCUCUGAGAAUCUUUCCAAGACUUGGACUCUGAUCCAGAGACUGUACGCGCUAUUCAGUCUUGCUUUCUGGGGAAGGCAUCCCAUCCCCUUGCCUACUCCUUUUCUGCAGCUUGAGUUGUAAGUAAUCUCUCUUUUCCUCCAGUGUCCAUCUCAUGGGUUUUGGCCCAGCUAUGAAGACCCUCUGGCAAAAGGAAAACAGCAUAGAUUGGCAAGCAAGUGACAGAAGUGGCCCGAGGCAAUCCUCCGCUUCAUCCUCUUGCCCCUGGAGGCAGAUCAGGCUAAACACAGAAGCAGGGCUUCAAAGGAGGGGCCUGGAUCCUCCCCACAGUGACUCACUGGGCUCCAGAGGAAGCCGGGGUCUCCCGGGAUCAGUAGUCGGCCUUGAGGUGGUUCUCUGGAAGCCCUCUCCCACGGCGAUGAGAGCAAAGAGAGGCCGUGUGGUCUCAGGGAGAGACCCCGCGUGUAGCACAGCCUCUAAUUCUCUGCGUGACCUCGGGCAAGC
Equus asinus (donkey) is the source of this 5520-nucleotide long non-coding RNA. Lineage: Eukaryota; Metazoa; Chordata; Mammalia; Perissodactyla; Equidae. The record is from Ensembl.